GAUGAAGAACGUAGCGAAAUGCGAUACUUGGUGUGAAUUGCAGAAUCCCGUGAACCAUCGAGUCUUUGAACGCAAGUUGCGCCCGAAGCCAUUAGGCCGAGGGCACGCCUGCCUGGGCGUCACACGUCGUUGCCCCCCCAUCUACUCCUUCGGGAUUGCGGGGGGGCGGAUGAUGGCCUCCUGUGCGCCUAGCCGCGCGGUUGGCAUAAAUACCAAGUCCUCGGCGACGCACGCCACGACAAUCGGUGGUUGCGAAACCUCGGUUGCCCGUCGUGUGCGUUCGUCGCGCAUCGAGGGCUCGAAAAAAUGCUCGGCUCCGGCUGGGCUUUCAACGCGACCCCAGGUCAGGCGGGGUUACCCGCUGAAUUUAAGCAUAUCAAUAAGCGGAGGA
This 391-nucleotide unclassified non-coding RNA is filed under the name soil metagenome. RNAcentral describes it as "partial contains 5.8S ribosomal RNA, internal transcribed spacer 2, and large subunit ribosomal RNA". The stretch from base 1 to 122 matches the Rfam family "5.8S ribosomal RNA", at positions 35 to 154 of the family's 154-position model. The record is from RNAcentral.